CAAGUACCUGAGAUAUCCAUAAAGACCUCUCAGUUAAAGGGGCGCUGGGAACACUUGUGGGAACUCUGCCUCCCUAGCAUAACCAAAAACCAGGGUUUCCACCUAGGAGAACAAACAGAGAAAGAGAAGAGAGACAACACUAACUUGGCUUAUUGAUCUCACUGCAUGGAAUGAGGAGAGCCAAUGAGAGUAAAGAGAGGAAGAACGGAAAGAAGUGGGAUGAGAGACUCAACAAUAUGCUGCUGUGGAAUUAAAUCACCCCAAUGAUUAAUUUAAACUCAAUGGCUUAACCUCAUGAAGACAUCAUUUUCAAGACUCCUGGGUUGACUGGGUUCUGACAUACAGCUCUGCCCCAUGUGCUGAGGUUGCAUGUGCAACUGCAUUCAGGUAGGAACUGGGCUGGUGUAGAGUUGGGUUCUCCUCCUCCUGGGUCUCACUCUCCAUGUGACAGUGUAACCUGAACUUCUUCAUGUAUGGAGACUGUCCUUAAAU
Molecule: long non-coding RNA, 492 nt
Filed under: Ictidomys tridecemlineatus (thirteen-lined ground squirrel)
Lineage: Eukaryota; Metazoa; Chordata; Mammalia; Rodentia; Sciuridae
Description: lncRNA (ENSSTOG00000033769.1)
Source: RNAcentral